Rosa rugosa (rugosa rose) is the source of this 1599-nucleotide RNA transcript. RefSeq lists it as uncharacterized. The record is from RefSeq and is a predicted model, not a curated record. The transcript is spliced from 6 exons. NCBI's taxonomy places the organism in Eukaryota, Viridiplantae, Streptophyta, Magnoliopsida, Rosales, Rosaceae.
CGUGAUGGUAAAACGAAGAGGGGUUUAUGGUAUUUUGGCAUCUGGGAUGAGGUUGGCAUCUUCUUCGUCAAAACCGCGAAAACUUAUCUGGUUUGGGUGUUUGGCAGCUCCUUUCCCGGGCUUCAGAAGGGGUCGGAAGUGAAUUACGAGUCGGACCAAUUUGCGAAUCGAGCGACCUCAUCAUUGAUGUGGUCUCUCUACAUACGCUUCCUCAAUGAAGGGAGUAAUUUAGAUUCUUUGAAUCUCAAACAAUGCAAAGCCUAUUUGCGAACGGACGAUCUUAGAAUUUCAGGAACCCAGUUGGUUUGUUUACAAAGAGUUGAAGAGCACCGGAGGUUAAGAGAUGGAAAUGGUGAAGCAUUAUAUCCCAGACCAUCACUGUACAUUAAUUGUCAUGUAUCAGAAAAGGCGGCAUCUGUUAUUAGUUUUACUGUCGUGUCAAUGGAGAACUAUCUUGAUGGGGUUGAUUGAUAUAGGAAACGAUCUAGCUAGGUUCAAUAGAUUUUGAUAUUCUGGUCCCAAAUCUUGAGGCCGUGGAAAACUGAAGUUAUCUCAAAGAAAGACUUGGCAAGAGUGUAGCUGGAAGUAUCAAAGAGUAAGGUUUGAGCUUCUUUUUCUUCUAAUAACCUGAAAUGGUGUAUUUCAGCUGUGACUAUAGAUUUUGAGGGUCUGAUUAUGAUAGAAGUUAUUUGAAGAGUACAAUAUAUUAUAGAGGGAUUUUAUAGUAGGAUGGGAGAAGCCCAAUGUGUUUAUGAAUGUCCCUAUUUGACAUCCAACUAUAUUGCUGUUCUGUUGUCAAAGCUUGCUGUUCUUUUUUUUCUUUUUCAUGUUGCAUACAUAAAUAUGCUAGAAGGUGAUCUAUUGAUCUAGAAUGUGAUCUUUGGGUUGUCAAAGAAUGCAUCUAGGUCCUAGAUUUGGCCUAGUCUAAUCAUUAAGAGACGAGGACUACAGGUGGGGAAGCACACAAACAUGAUAGUUUAUAGGCUGUAUACUUAUUAUUUUGUACAUUUGGAAAUGAAGUUCAGAGUAUGGCAUAGGAAUGGAGGUGUCAACAAGUGGCGACAUCUAUAGCUAUGAAAUCCUUCUAUUUGAGAUGUUGAUAGGCAAAAGAUUGACAUAUGACAUGUUUAAAGACAGCCUGAACCUGCAUAAAUUGGUCAGAUAAGGCUUUGGCCUCCUUAUCCUAUUGGAUGGUGAUCGGAGCUGUCUUCUAGCCAUCACGGUCUGCCAGCCUUUGAGCAAGCACUUGGAGCCUAUUAUUGAAGAGGAGCUUUUGAACGAGCACAUGGACAAUUGAAGAGGUUUGACAUGUAAAACAAGAAACUUUCAACUAUGUAAUUUUUUUGUUUACUGAUAAUCUGUAUCAAUGUGCUUUGUUUAGUGUGAGACUCGGCUUUGAUUAUCCAACAAGAUGCUACCAGUCUACUUUGUUCUUGGAAUUUUAUGAUCUGUACCUAAAUUUGAAUGCCUGACCGGGACGACUAGAAGACUCGGCUCUGAUCAAGAUGCUACCAGCAUACUUUGUUCUUGGGAUUUUAUGAUUUGUACCUAAUUUUGAAUGCAUGGAAACUUUCUAAGUAUAUCAUGUUUUUUUUUUCA